ACGGUCCCUCUGUGGUACUGCGGAGCCGGGGCUGGAGGCGGCGCGGCGGGGGCCGGAGCGGGCCGAACCGCCGCGCCCGCUCCAUGGAGGCCGCGGCCGAAGCCCCGGGGGGGUCGGCGGAGCUCAGUUGCUUCUCCUACAACCAGGACUGCACCUCCCUGGCAAUUGGAACCACAACUGGAUACAGGCUUUUCUCCUUAAGUUCCGUGGAGCAACUGGACCAGGUCCAUGAAAGCAAUGAAAUCCCAGAUGUUUACAUCGUGGAGCGUCUGUUCUCCAGCAGCCUUGUGGUUGUGGUCAGUCAUGCCAAGCCUCAGCAAAUGAAUGUCUACCACUUCAAGAAAGGGACAGAGAUCUGCAACUAUAGCUAUUCCAGUAAAAUCCUGUCCAUCCGGCUGAAUCGUCAGAGGCUGAUUGUUUGCCUGGAGGAGUCAAUUUACAUCCAUAACAUCAAGGACAUGAAGCUUUUGAAGACUAUCCUGGAUACGCCCCCAAAUACAACAGGUCUGUGCGCUCUCUCGAUCAACCACGCCAACUCCUACUUGGCUUAUCCCGGCAGUGCAACCAGCGGAGAGAUCGCACUUUACGACGGAAAUACUUUGAAAACAGCCUGCACAAUUGCUGCCCACGAUGGGCCUCUGGCUGCCCUAACCUUCAACUCCACUGGGUCAAAGCUGGCAAGUGCUUCUGAAAAAGGCACGGUCAUUCGUGUAUUUUCCAUUCCUGGUGGGCAAAAGCUCUAUGAAUUCCGUCGAGGGAUGAAAAGGUAUGUGAAUAUCAGCUCUCUGGUGUUCAGCAUGGAUUCCCAGUUCCUGUGUGCUUCGAGUAACACAGAGACAGUGCACAUCUUUAAACUGGAGCAUCUCACUGACAGCCGGCCAGAAGAGCCACCAACCUGGAGUGGGUACAUGGGAAAGAUGUUCCAGGCUGCCACCAACUACCUCCCUGCCCAGGUGUCGGGCAUGAUGAACCAAGAUCGAGCCUUUGCCACUGUCCGCCUUAACAUCUCUGGACAAAGGAACAUCUGUGCCCUCUCCACGAUUCAGAAGCUGCCUCGACUGCUGGUGACUACAUCUGAUGGACAUCUCUAUAUCUACAACUUGGACCCGCAAGAUGGAGGAGAGUGUGUCUUAAUUCAGAAACACAGUCUACUUGGCUCAGGAAAAAUGGAGGAGAACAAAGAAAAUGACCUUCAGCCUCCAUUACCUCAAUCUUAUGCAGCAACUGUAGCCAGACAAAGUACAGUGCCUUCAACUUCGACCAUGCCAGGUUAUUCGGAGGAUGGUGGUGCCCUGCGAGGAGAGGUUAUCCCAGAGCACGAGUUUGCAACUGGACCAGUGUGUCUUGAUGACGAGAAUGAGUUUCCUCCUUGUGCAACAAAAAGACAUUUAAAAACCUCAAAACUUGUGACAAAAUGGAAUAUUUACCCACAGCCCACGAGGACGGCUUUGAACUCAGACGUACUUGUGGAGGAACAGCAGCGCUGAGACCCAGCGGAUCCUCUCCGUUUUGAAAUGCUUUGCCUUCCCCUGACCUCGAGUUCUGAAGGUACUUGGGCAUUACUGAGAUGGACAGCAGGCUGGAGGAGAAGGUGAGGAGAAGAUGUUGUGCUUCAGAUGGGCUCAAGGAAGCAGCACUGCGCCUGAACUUCACAAUUGGACGGCGCCGUGGGAAGAAGCAGCCCAGCUCUGGCUGUGAGCAGUUGGGAAGGUCCCUGCCAUUCUCACCAAGCAGUUGCCAUCUCUCUGCAGAUAAUCUUGUGCCGUGGAGGUCAGCCGGGCAAAGCGAAGAGGUCAUGAUGAGAAGCAAACAUCCGUGUGUAGGACAGCUGCUGGGAAGUGCUUCGGAGCAGCCAGGAAUCUCCAAGAACAGAUCUGUGAGUCUUCAAGAAGACUAAAAAGUCCAAGGUGGGCCACUGCUUUUAACUAGAGUACAUAUAAGUGAAUGGCUCGCCCUGCUCACCCCUCGUUUUAAUCCCUGCCUGGGUGGGGUGUCCGUGUACUGUAGGCACAUUGCUAUAUUUAACAAACUCUAUGUUAGAACCACAUUGUAAAUGCUAAUUUAAUCAGAUCUGUAUGUAACCAGAAUUUUAUAUACCUGUUUUACCCGUUUCUAAUUUAUGCUGUUUUAUGUGUAUAAAUGUACUUAUAGGAAGAUAUAUUAAACUUAUGUCUUUGUACAGUACACACUAUUUUACCCAAGCAAAGUAUUUUUGCAGUGACACGAGAGAAGAUGUGAUUUGCUACGGUUAAAGACAGAAUAAAGUCACAGUCCGUCCCUUGCA
Coturnix japonica (Japanese quail) is the source of this 2284-nucleotide non-coding RNA. The record is from RefSeq and is a predicted model, not a curated record. NCBI's taxonomy places the organism in Eukaryota, Metazoa, Chordata, Aves, Galliformes, Phasianidae.